RNAcentral lists this unclassified non-coding RNA (262 nucleotides) under Glomeraceae sp. RNAcentral's name for it is "partial contains 5.8S ribosomal RNA and internal transcribed spacer 2". The stretch from base 1 to 71 matches the Rfam family "5.8S ribosomal RNA", at positions 84 to 154 of the family's 154-position model. The record is from RNAcentral. Lineage: Eukaryota; Fungi; Glomeromycota; Glomeromycetes; Glomerales; Glomeraceae.
GUGAAUCAUCGAAUUUUUGAACGCAAAUUGCGCUUCCUAGCAUCCCGGUAAGUAUGCCUGUUUGAGGGUCAGUAUUAACAAAAAAAUCGGUUUUGUUUCAAAUUGUGAUGUUUCCGGAGUUUGUUCUUAUCUUAACUUUUUUUGUUAUGUAUCUUAAAAUUUACCUUUUUUGCUCAUUUGUAGACGUACAUAAAUUUUUUUUAUUCGUCUUAUCUUAAUUCCAAUAUCUUAUUAGAUGAGAUGACAUCAUGUCUCUUCGUUU